RNAcentral lists this long non-coding RNA (343 nucleotides) under Theobroma cacao (cacao). Its description in RNAcentral is "long non-coding RNA (TCAC_LNC002761)". Lineage: Eukaryota; Viridiplantae; Streptophyta; Magnoliopsida; Malvales; Malvaceae. The record is from RNAcentral.
GGAAUUUCUUCUUCGUCUAUUGUUGUUCUCUCCAACCUUUUUUCUUGUAGCUUUAAGCUUGCAUGGUUUUCAUGGCUUCAUAGCUCUUGCUGACCAUGCCACAUGCUCUGCAAGAGCUAAGAAAACACAGGCAUAGAGUACGGAAUUUGAAUCUUGGGAAAUUUUUCUUAUGACUACUUGAAAAAUCAAAAAGAUGCAUUUGGAUGAAGUUUUAACUUUGUAUUUCAAACCUACCAUUGAUGAAAGCCUCUGCCAUCAUUGUCAUUGCCAAUCGUUAGAGCUGCAUAACUUUGAAACUUCAAAGCAGCACUUCCCAAAGAAUCCAAAAAGAAAGAAUAUGAAC